Non-coding RNA from Sus scrofa (pig), 5673 nucleotides. The record is from RefSeq and is a predicted model, not a curated record. Lineage: Eukaryota; Metazoa; Chordata; Mammalia; Artiodactyla; Suidae.
AAAAAAAAAAAAAAAAAAAAAGAGAGAGAGAGAGAUUUUGGUACAGUCCAACUUCCCUAGCUUGGCAUCCAAAAGGCCUGAUCUUCCUUUCCAGUCUCAUCUCCCAAGCGUCUCUUCCCUCACUCCCCUCCCAAGUCCCACUCGCCAGCUUCAUGGGUCCAUUAGUUGUUCUCAAACAUACUCGGCAUUUUCUCACGGCCUCCUUUGCUCCCUGGGCUUGGGAAGAACCCCCCAUCCCUCCUCGCCCCUAAUGCAUUGCCCAUCACUCAAGGCUCAGCGGAAAUCCUGCCUUCUCUGAGAGGGUCUCUCAGAUUCUUCCAUUUGGACCUCUCGGGCUUCCACACAACCAGAGUCCUUUGUACCCUGUUAUCCAGUCUGUCUCGGGCCACUUACUUAUGUGCUCCUCUGCCUCUUGUCCAGUUCUGAGCAUCAGGACUGGGUCCCAGGUGACAUCCAUACUUCAAAAAAUUUUUGUUUUGAAAUAGCAGUCUCAUAGAAAGUGGCAAAAAUAGUACAGAGAGACCCCUUGUGCUCUUCAUCCAGCCUCUUCCAAUAGUAAUGUCUUACAUAUCCACAGCACGAGAGAGAUUCAUGUUUCUCUUUGGUUGUUUAUCUUGGUUUUAUCACUGGUUCCUUUUUUAAAACUUGCACUCACAUUUCAAAUGUUCUUCCUCAGCAUCUUCGCAUUUGGUCCAACACCCCACCGUGUUGCACAGUCUCAUGGAGCCAGAUUAGGUGUCAGUGUGAAAAGCCCCUGUCUAUCAAUGGUUUGGAAAAAGGCAUGGGUUGCAAUAAAAAAAUCACCAGAUUAGACUUUCAGGGUAGCAGAAUUUUAUCAUUCAAGGAGUCAACUCUCUGUGUGUUUAGAGCUUUGGACCCACAGGCUGGAGUAUUUAUGAUUAGUAUAGUUCUGUGGUAUAAAUACUUGCCUUUUCUCAUUUGCUUGAUUUGUUUUUAGAGUUUUGUACUUUGCGCCUCUCAAGUCCAAGUGUUAUAAAACCACAGCACCUUACAAAAUACAUGAGCAGACGUGAGUGUUUAAUACAAGAUUGACAAAAAUCUUUGCUCCCUUCUCUAGAAAUGUUUGCUUUCUGGAACAAGAUCAGAAAGCCAAAUUUCACAAUAGUAUCCCUGAGAUGUUGUAAUUAUGCUUUUUAUCUGACAUUGCGAAAAUGACUUAGGGUUUAAAGAAACUGAUUUCCCUCAGAGACACAGUUCUUAGCAGUCUGUCCUAUUUAUAGCCUUUCGCCAUUUUUUAUUUAUUAUCUUUUUCUGAGUUCACAUCCUACUGCUUUAAACUGUUUUCCAUGGUACGAUUUGACGAGCAUUAGAGCGAAUCUCCUUCCUCAAAUAUUCCUUCUUCAGCAGUCUGAGGGUGGAGAAAGCCUAACCCAGUUAUUCUAUAUUUGGGUUGGGGCUUUUAGGAUAAGCAGGGUAGGUCAGAUGUCUAUCUUAGGCUAGGUUGUUAUCAGGAAUGCCUUAGGAGCGAGGCGUUUAGCAGACUCUUUCUUCAGAGGCAGCUGGGAGAGAAUGGCUACAAAUAAAUAGCCAUGCAAGGAACGAGGGAGAGAGAGGGCCAGAGCUGCAUCUCUCAGACACGGAGGAGAAUGCAGAUUACCUGGAGAUCCUGUGCUAACGCAGGGCCUCCGUUAGCGGAUCUGGGAUCUGGAGAGAGAGAGUCAGGGAGGGGUCUCCCAGGUGAUGCCGAUGCUGCGGGAACCCAGACCACGUUUUUCUUCCCAGUCUGCAAAGCCGUCUUCAUGAUCUCAACUUCACCGCAAUGCUUCUUACACAUGCUAAUCUUUUUUUAUGAAUGAUUUUUAUUUGUUCCAUUACAGUUGGUUUACAGUGUUCUGUCCGUGUCUUCAGACCCCGUUUGAGCUGCGAGGGGCCAAAGCCGACUGAGUCUUAGGAGGCUCGGCUGGAGGCACAGCUCUGAGGAGGCCACAUGCGGAAGGGGGAUGGGGCAGGACGAGGAGAGCCAGGGCUGAGGGCAGUUCAAGGAUGAGAAUGUACCAGAAUGGCUCUCUUAAUUUUGCGUAAGCCUCUUCUUUCCAGGACAAAGAUAGAUACUAACAUUUUCUACUUUUUUCUUCUAUUAUAGAUAUUAAUGUGAUCACAUAAUACCAUCUACAGUGGCAUGGAGAUCUACUUGUUGGCCUUGAUAAAGGUGUCAGGUGUUCACUGUUGAGAGGUUUUCUACAAUUAAUGCCGUGAUUCCCAGACACGGAACUCCCUGACAGUACGUCUGGAACGACAUCCGUUUGAAGAUCUGGGAAGGAAAAAAGGACUGCUUUUGUUUGGCCACCCCACAGCAUAUGGAAUUCCUGGGCCAGGGAUCAGAUCCAAGCCAUAGUGACAAAUUACCCGGCAACACUGAAUUCUUAAUCCACUGUGCCGGGCCUGGGAUCGAACCUGUGUCCUGGUGCUGCUGAUCCCAUGGCAUCACAGCAGGGACUCUGAAAAAAAUUAUUUUCCUAUUAAAUAAACUCAUAUAUCAUGGAGAGGAAGGUAAGACGGGGAUAAACUUUAAUAAACAUUUGAAGGGUUGUGGCAGUGGCUUUAGUCUCUGCUCUCACGUCCUGUCUACAGUUUUCUUUUCUCCUGUGAAGAGGGAGACAGCGGAGGUGGACAGGGGGGAAAAGCCCGUGACAGCGAUAAUGCCUGUGAAGUGCAGAAGCAGGUGCUUUCUAUUUUUUAAUUUCUUGUUGUUUCCUCCUUCUUUAGUUCCUUGCCAGGCAAGGUUGUUUCUGGCUUCCUUUCUGCCUCUGCUCUCGACUGCCCUUCCCUCGCUAUGAAUAAUCAUGCAUUGGCUGGUCCUUCUUCCCUCCCCCUGCUUGGUGUCGAUCCUUGGUCUUGGCCUUCGCUGAGCUCUUUCUUGCCACGCCCUCCCAGUCUGUCCAUCACUAGCGCUUCGCCUCUUUAGGAAGAGGAGUCACUAAAGGCAGAUAUUGGGUCAGGUCUGCAUAGCGACCAGCAUGGCCUCUAACCAAUGUCUGCCUCUAGGAACUCCACUCCCUCAAGAAGCGAAGCAACAGUGAUGGACAGAACAGGGGGGACCCAGGGAACAAAGUCUCACCAAUCAACUCCUGGUUCUCUUGCUGCUAAUGUUUCUUGAGCCCUAACUCUGAGCUACAGAGAAGUACAUAAAAAUAACCCCCCAUAGAGAGGCUCUGCCCCUGCUUGACAAUCUCCGCUAUCACUCCACUUGCCUCCAGCUCAGUGGCACUGCCCAGGAAUGAGAAAUGAAUUUACAGUGACCCCCACUGGGCGUGCAGGAAUAAGGCUGGGAUGACCAGCCCAGUGGCACUUCAAGCCGUAGCCUACAGGGGGAUGCAUUGUUUGGCUCUCUAGGGCUUGGAAUUUUCCAAAUGACUACAUGACUGCAAAUCCGCUUUGGUUUAUUUUGUAACAUGGCACCUUUCCAAUUACUCCUUGUCCCAACUGGCCAAGAGGGAUGCCUGACAAAGUGUGAAUAAUGGCUCCUCUUUUUUUUUGCCAGAGUGUUGCUGGUCACGCCUAUUAUUUUUUCUUUCUUAUUGUAUUUUCAUUAACUUAAAAUAAUUUUUUUGGUCUUUCUAGGGCUGCACCCACAGCAUAUGGAGGUUCCCAGGCUAGGGGUCCAAUUGGAGCCAUAGCUGCUGGCCUACACCACAGCCACAGCAAUGCAUGAUCCAAGCCGUGUCUGCGACCUGCACCACAUCUCACAGUGAUGCCAGAUCCUUAACCCACUGAGCAAGUUCAGGUAUUGAACCUGCGUGCUCAUGGAUGGUAGUCAGAUUUGUUUCCACUGAGCCAUGGCGGGAACUCCUUAAAAUAAUUUUUAAGCAACUGUUGUUAAAUUAGGGUAUAAGGUCUUCCAACUUAAGUACAGCAUAAAUGCUUCUGUUUGCUUUCUUUCAAGCCAACGGUUGCCCUUCACCUGCCUCUGGCAUUUUAAGGGGCACGAGACUUGAUGCCGUCUCCUCCUUGCCGUCAGGACCAUCUCCAGCCUUAUCCCCAGUCUUUGUCCAAGCCAGUUCCUGGGGAUCAGCUUCCAGAGAGAAGAAAACUAUGCAGUGAGGCCAGAGGUUGCUCAAGAUCAUCAGGAAAAGAAGGCCGCCUUUAAUUUCUAGAAUUCCAUUCAAAGGAACGGAAGUGAGGAAGGAGAGAGAGGGUCAGGCCUGGAGUUGGGGUAAGGACGAGGUAACAGUGGAGAGGUGAGAGUGACGUUGGCUGGUAGAGGAGGGGGUGGGGGGAGACAGGAAAGGGAGCAGAGGUGGUUGGGGGCUGGCUGACCCCUACCUUUUGUAGCUCUUAUCCAUAACCAUUUAGAAGGUAUGAAUCAAACUAACAGAUGGUUAAUAAGAUGGUGGUAGCCUUCCGUUUUUGCAGGGAUACCCUCUUGAUGAUGGUGGAGGCAGAUGUGAAUGUAGAACUAUCAGCUUCUGCAGAGAUACUUGCUAGAAUAUUGUGGCCCUCCUGCCAGGCCUGGGUCUCCAGGUGCUUUCCACGCUGAUCCUGCUGCAUCACAUAUGAGGGGUUGCAGGUGCACACACAGAGAUGCCCCGCCUCAUGAUCAUGCUCUGGUCCUAUCUCCAACCCCCAUCCCUGACAAACAGGAGCUUCUAGGCCACCCAUUGGGCCUCAGAGUGUAUACACUGGCCAUAUGGUUCUUCCUUGCAGGUUUGUACCCAGGGAAAAGGCCAUCAAGCCCCUCAAAGUGAACCUGGAUGCUGUCUACAAGAAGCAGGGUUUCAUAAUGGUUCCAACUUGGCCCAUGCCCUUGGAUUCAUGGCCUCUCUGCUUUUGGGCAGGAAAUAGGGUUGGAGAAGGGCCAGAGUGAGGCCCUUGAAAGUGUAGAGGUCCCUCUUGCCCAGGUCCAAGCCUAAUACUAAGUAACAGAACUGUUCUGUCUUCCCACAAAGAACAUCUUUAAAAGUACAGGUAAAUAGCCAAGCUCAGGCCUUGGAGGUUGAAAGGUGCCAGGUCCACACUUGUUAGGGAAGUUUCAGAGUCCCUUGCCUUUGGCUGGACUCUGCUGGGCUGGACCACAGGCAUCCUUGCAGUCACCAGUACAGCCUGAAGACCAGAGGCCUUUCUUUCUCCCCAUUUUCUAGGAACCAGGAAAGAUUCCAGCUGACCUAGGACCCUGAAGCAGGACAGAGAGAAUUUCUCAAUCUCUCGGGUUCAUGCGGGGCUCAGAGUCAUAUUUAAUUUGAUUUAGAAAAAUAAAAUCACGUGGCAUGCCCUGUACUCCAUCCUAGUGUGAUGUAUACAAUGAUAAUAACAAGCACAUAAAGCACAUUAUCCAAUUUCUGAAUCCACAGCGUGUUCUCUUACACCUGCAGUCUGCCCUGUUUACGUGCUUCCCUUUGGGUACUAGUCCUGCACAUGAUAAAUUUCUUGAAGGCAGGAAGUGGCUUAAUUCUCACUGAGUUCUUAGCUGAAUGCAUCAGAGUGCCAUGCACACAUCAGACUUUUAAGAACUGAUUUGUUGAGUUGAAUAGAAUGUUUCUGAAUUCAAUGUAAAAAUGAGUGGUCAAGGAUGUAUCGCUUUAUUCUUAGAACUAGUAGGGCUUUUUUUUUUUUUUUUUUCUAUUUCCGUAUUAAUCUAGACAAAAACAUCCACUAAUUUUUUUUUUUUUAAGGCCACUCCUGUGGCAUAUGGCAGUUCCUAGGCUGGGGGUCAAA